Molecule: ribosomal RNA, 468 nt
Filed under: uncultured bacterium
Lineage: Bacteria
Description: partial 16S ribosomal RNA
Rfam family: Bacterial small subunit ribosomal RNA
Source: RNAcentral
GACGAACGCUGGCGGCGUGCUUAACACAUGCAAGUCGAACGGAAAGGCCCUGCUUUUGUGGGGUGCUCGAGUGGCGAACGGGUGAGUAACACGUGAGUAACCUGCCCUUGACUUUGGGAUAACUUCGGGAAACUGGGGCUCAUACCGGAUAGGAUCUCCUGCUGCAUGGUGGGGGUUGGAAAGUUUCGGCGGUUGGGGAUGGACUCGCGGCUUAUCAGCUUGUUGGUGGGGUAGUGGCUUACCAAGGCUUUGACGGGUAGCCGGCCUGAGAGGGUGACCGGCCACAUUGGGACUGAGAUACGGCCCAGACUCCUACGGGAGGCAGCAGUGGGGAAUAUUGCACAAUGGGCGGAAGCCUGAUGCAGCAACGCCGCGUGCGGGAUGACGGCCUUCGGGUUGUAAACCGCUUUCGCCUGUGACGAAGCGUGAGUGACGGUAAUGGGUAAAGAAGCACCGGCUAACUACGUG